UGUCUCUAAGCUUCUUUUCCUUCUACUUCUCCUCUUCCUCGUUCUCUCUCCAAUUUACAUUAUUCAUGGUAGAGAAGCCAGCGGUCCAUGGUGCCUGGCAAGUCGGGUCUCCUCUGUGGAGUCUGCAGUUCAAACACAAGUUUUAUAGUUUCCAAUGGAAUCGUGUUGGAGUCCGAUUAUUAUGAUGGCGUGGAAGGUGGACACCUCAAACCACAAAACUGAGUACCAGUACAAUGCACCGACGAGGCAUGCGCCCUGCCUUGUGUGGAGGGGGAGGACACUUGGCCUAUAACACGAGAUUCAGGGAGUUCUGUCAGACCCUUCAAUGAUGGGGACCAGAAUCCCAGUGUUCCAAGCCAGGCCUCAGGGGGACGAACCAUCCAAGACCAAGAGGAGCUACAGCGUCUGAAGUGGGAGUGGACCUGUAAGGUGUGUCGGGACAAGUGGGUCCACAUGGUCCUCAUGCCCUGUGGUCACCUGGUGUGUGAGGAGUGCUCCUCCAGGCAGCCAUCUUGUCUUUUCUGUGGAGGCCAGAUCCAGCAGCGCUUGAACAUCUCUUUCUCAUAACCAUAUGCCUGCUAGACCGUUCAGCCCUGGUCCAGCAACAUUAUUUUGCAAUAGUUGACCUUGACUGAAUGGCAGUCU
Long non-coding RNA from Osmerus eperlanus (European smelt), 645 nucleotides. RefSeq lists it as uncharacterized. The transcript is spliced from 6 exons. NCBI's taxonomy places the organism in Eukaryota, Metazoa, Chordata, Actinopteri, Osmeriformes, Osmeridae. The record is from RefSeq and is a predicted model, not a curated record.